AUUGAACGCUGGCGGAAUGCUUUACACACGCAAGUCGAGCGGCAGCGCGGCCUUCGGGCUGGCGGCGAGCGGCGAACGGGUGAGUAAUGCAUCGGAACAUGCCCAGUCGUGGGGGAUAACACUUCGAAAGAAGUGCUAAUACCGCAUACGUCCUGAGGGGGAAAGCGGGGGAUCGCAAGACCUCGCGCGAUUGGAGUGGCCGAUGUCAGAUUAGCUAGUUGGUGGGGUAAAGGCCUACCAAGGCGACGAUCUGUAGCUGGUCUGAGAGGAUGAUCAGCCACACUGGGACUGAGACACGGCCCAGACUCCUACGGGAGGCAGCAGUGGGGAAUUUUGGACAAAGGGGGCAACCCUGAUCCAGCCAUUCCGCGUGAGUGAAGAAGGCCUUCGGGUUGUAAAGCUCUUUCGGCAGGAACGAAACGGUGGGCUCUAACAUAGUCCGCUAAUGACGGUACCUGAAGAAGAAGCACCGGCUAACUACGUG
Molecule: ribosomal RNA, 484 nt
Filed under: uncultured bacterium
Lineage: Bacteria
Description: partial 16S ribosomal RNA
Rfam family: Bacterial small subunit ribosomal RNA
Source: RNAcentral